CUCCCGGUCUCGACCUCCGCUCCCUCUCCCUCUCCGCCCGGCCUCCGCCUCCUCUCCCUCUCCCUCUCCGCCCGGCCUCCGCUCCCUCUCCGCCCGGCCUCCGCUCCCUCUCCCUCUCCCUCUCCGCCCGGCCUCUGCUCCCUCUCCGCCCGGCCUCCUCCUCCUCCUCCUCCUGCUCCGGCCUCCUCCUCCUGCUGCUCCGGUCCUCCCUCCUCCUCCUCGAGUCGUUUUUGAGCUUUAGUUUUAUUUUGUGUUUGCUUUUAUUUUCCGGUUAAUUGCAAUGUUGUGGUGUUGUUAGGAAGUGUAUAUUUGUAUUUAGGAAGUGUAUAUUGUUAUUUAAUAAGUGUAUAUUUGUAUUUAGUAUUUAGGAAAUGUAUAUAUUUGUUUUGUAUUUUGAAGUGUAUAUUUUUAUUUAUGAAGUGUAUAUUUAGGAAGUGCAUAUUUUUAUUUAUGAAGUGUAUAUUUAGGAAGUGUAUAUUGUUAUUUAAUAAGUGUAUAUUUGUAUUUAGUAUUUAGGAAAUGUAUAUAUUUGUUUUCUAUUUUGAAGUGUAUAUUUUUAUUUAUGAAGUGUAUAUUUAGGAAGUGUAUAUUUGUAUUUAUGAAGUGUAUAUUUAGGAAGUGUAUAUUGUUAUUUAAUAAGUGUAUAUUUGUAUUUAGUAUUUAGGAAAUGUAUAUAUUUGUUUUCUAUUUUGAAGUGUAUAUUUUUAUUUAUGAAGUGUAUAUUUAGGAAGUGUAUAUGUGUAAAAUUUAGAAAGUGAAAAUUAGUAUUUAGGAAGUGUAUAUAUUUUUUACAUUUUUUAAAUGAGUUUGCAUUUUUUGAUUUUGUGGCCUUCAUUCAAAUUAAUAUUUUAAAUAGGAUGAGCAGUAAUAUUAGAUCGACGAAGGGUUCGAAGGGCCAAAGGUCCGUAUCGUCUGAGGGAACCUCUAGCAACCCUCAGACGUCGUUUCAGGGCCCCAUGACAGCUAGACAUGCGAGCCUUCUGCAGACGGCGCAGAGGCAGCCGGAGGUGCCCCUUUCAUCGAGGCAGCGGGGCUUCCCUCAUUCCUCGAGGCAGUUGUUUGCUCAGCCUCAGACGGAGGUGUCUGCACCCCGUAUGCCUGAGAU
Molecule: long non-coding RNA, 1105 nt
Filed under: Fragaria vesca (wild strawberry)
Lineage: Eukaryota; Viridiplantae; Streptophyta; Magnoliopsida; Rosales; Rosaceae
Description: long non-coding RNA (FVES_LNC005128)
Source: RNAcentral